AUGGACAACGCGUGCACACCGGUUCUGAGCGCGCCGCUCGCAGCCACCUGACGACUGCUCGCUACGGUUUGUUAGCC
This 77-nucleotide small RNA is filed under the name Xanthomonas dyei pv. laureliae. RNAcentral's name for it is "sX9 sRNA". It matches the Rfam family "Xanthomonas sRNA sX9". Lineage: Bacteria; Pseudomonadati; Pseudomonadota; Gammaproteobacteria; Lysobacterales; Lysobacteraceae. RNAcentral also lists the same sequence under 1 other name. The record is from RNAcentral.